This 450-nucleotide ribosomal RNA is filed under the name uncultured bacterium. RNAcentral's name for it is "partial 16S ribosomal RNA". It matches the Rfam family "Bacterial small subunit ribosomal RNA", at positions 338 to 795 of the family's 1533-position model. The record is from RNAcentral.
CCUACGGGGGGCUGCAGUGGGGAAUUUUGGACAAUGGGGGCAACCCUGAUCCAGCCAUGCCGCGUGAGUGAAGAAGGCCUUCGGGUUGUAAAGCUCUUUCGGCCGGGAAGAAAUCGUGCGGGCCAAUACCCUGCAUGGAUGACGGUACCGGAAGAAGAAGCACCGGCUAACUACGUGCCAGCAGCCGCGGUAAUACGUAGGGUGCGAGCGUUAAUCGGAAUUACUGGGCGUAGAGCGUGCGCAGGCGGCUGAGAUCCCCGGGCUUAACCUGGGAACUGCGGGUGUGACGGUGGUGAUUGAGUGCGGCAGAGGGGGGUGGAAUUCCACGUGUAGCAGUGAAAUGCGUAGAGAUGUGGAGGAACACCGAUGGCGAAGGCAGCCCCCUGGGUCGACACUGACGCUCAUGCACGAAAGCGUGGGGAGCAAACAGGAUUAGAUACCCGUGUAGUC